GGACCCGCACAAGUAGUGGAGCAUGUGGUUUAAUUCGAAGCAACGCGCAGAACCUUACCAACCCUUGACAUCCUGUGCUACAUUCAGAGAUGAAUGGUUCCCUUCGGGGACGCAGUGACAGGUGCUGCAUGGCUGUCGUCAGCUCGUGUCGUGAGAUGUUCGGUUAAGUCCGGCAACGAGCGCAACCCACAUCCCUAGUUGCCAGCAGUUCGGCUGGGCACUCUAUGGAAACUGCCCGUGAUAAGCGGGAGGAAGGUGUGGAUGACGUCAAGUCCUCAUGGCCCCUUACGGGUUGGGCUACACACGUGCUACAAUGGCAUCUACAGUGGGGU
This 332-nucleotide ribosomal RNA is filed under the name uncultured bacterium. Its description in RNAcentral is "bacterial SSU rRNA". It matches the Rfam family "Bacterial small subunit ribosomal RNA", at positions 917 to 1248 of the family's 1533-position model. The record is from RNAcentral.